Molecule: ribosomal RNA, 393 nt
Filed under: uncultured bacterium
Lineage: Bacteria
Description: partial 16S ribosomal RNA
Rfam family: Bacterial small subunit ribosomal RNA
Source: RNAcentral
AUACGGAGGAUCCGAGCGUUAUCCGGAUUUAUUGGGUUUAAAGGGAGCGUAGGCGGACGCUUAAGUCAGUUGUGAAAGUUUGCGGCUCAACCGUAAAAUUGCAGUUGGUACUGGGUGUCUUGAGUACAGUAGAGGCAGGCGGGAUUUGUGGGGUGGGGGUGGAAUGCUUAGAUAUCACGAAGAACUCCGAUUGCGAAGGCAGCCUGCUGGACUGUAACUGACGCUGAUGCUCGAAAGUGUGGGUAUCAAACAGGAUUAGAUACCCUGGUAGUCCACACAGUAAACGAUGAAUACUCGCUGUUUGCGAUAUACAGUAAGCGGCCAAGCGAAAGCGUUAAGUAUUCCACCUGGGGAGUACGCCGGCAACGGUGAAACUCAAAUGAAUUGACGGGG